RNAcentral lists this transfer RNA (87 nucleotides) under Candidatus Rokuibacteriota bacterium. RNAcentral describes it as "tRNA-Leu". It matches the Rfam family "tRNA". From Rfam's summary of the family: Transfer RNA (tRNA) molecules are approximately 80 nucleotides in length. Their secondary structure includes four short double-helical elements and three loops (D, anti-codon, and T loops). Lineage: Bacteria; Candidatus Rokuibacteriota. The record is from RNAcentral.
GCCGGUGUGAUGAAACUGGCAGACAUGCGGGACUCAAAAUCCCGUGUCCGCAAGGGCGUAGGGGUUCGACUCCCCUCACCGGCACCA